This 368-nucleotide ribosomal RNA is filed under the name uncultured bacterium. Its description in RNAcentral is "bacterial SSU rRNA". It matches the Rfam family "Bacterial small subunit ribosomal RNA", at positions 1013 to 1384 of the family's 1533-position model. The record is from RNAcentral.
AAGUAUCUUCGGACUGUGGUGACAGGUGCUGCAUGGCCGUCGUCAGCUCGUGUCGUGAGAUGUUUGGUUAAGUCCAUUAACGAGCGCAACCCUUGUAGUUAGUUGUAUUUUUCUAGCUAGACUGCCUUGGUAACAGGGAGGAAGGGGGGGAUGAUGUCAGGUCAGUAUUGCCCUUACACCUGGGGCUACAAACACGCUACAAUGGCCAGUACAAAGGGCAGCCAAGUCGCAAGACGGAGCAAAUCCCAUCAAAACUGGUCUCAGUUCGGAUUGAGGGCUGAAACUCGCCCUCAUGAAGCUGGAAUCGCUAGUAACGGUAGGUCAGCAUUACUACCGUGAAUACGUUCCCGGGUCUUGUCACCCNCCGA